AUUUCGUAAUGGGGCUUUCCUUAAUAACUUUUUAAAUAUUCACAUGCCUCAUAUAAGGAUUCGUCAUCCAUUUGCAGGAAGGAAGUGAUCUCAUUUCACAACUU
RNAcentral lists this small nucleolar RNA (104 nucleotides) under Gossypium hirsutum (cotton). Its description in RNAcentral is "Plant small nucleolar RNA R71". It matches the Rfam family "Plant small nucleolar RNA R71". Rfam says of the family: R71 is a member of the C/D box family of snoRNAs containing the C (UGAUGA) and D (CUGA) box motifs. RNAcentral also lists the same sequence under 1 other name. Lineage: Eukaryota; Viridiplantae; Streptophyta; Magnoliopsida; Malvales; Malvaceae. The record is from Rfam by way of RNAcentral.